RNAcentral lists this ribosomal RNA (600 nucleotides) under uncultured bacterium. RNAcentral describes it as "bacterial SSU rRNA". It matches the Rfam family "Bacterial small subunit ribosomal RNA", at positions 881 to 1482 of the family's 1533-position model. The record is from RNAcentral.
UACGGUCGCAAGAUUAAAACUCAAAGGAAUUGACGGGGACCCGCACAAGCGGUGGAUGAUGUGGAUUAAUUCGAUGCAACGCGAAAAACCUUACCUACCCUUGACAUGUCAGGAGUCCCGUAGAGAUAUGGGAGUGCCGCAAGGAACCUGAACACAGGUGCUGCAUGGCUGUCGUCAGCUCGUGUCGUGAGAUGUUGGGUUAAGUCCCGCAACGAGCGCAACCCUUGUCAUUAGUUGCCAUCAUUUAGUUGGGCACUCUAAUGAGACUGCCGGUGACAAACCGGAGGAAGGUGGGGAUGACGUCAAGUCCUCAUGGCCCUUAUGGGUAGGGCUUCACACGUCAUACAAUGGUCGGUACAGAGGGUCGCUAACCCGCGAGGGGGUGCCAAUCUCAGAAAGCCGAUCGUAGUCCGGAUCGUAGUCUGCAACUCGACUACGUGAAGUCGGAAUCGCUAGUAAUCGCGGAUCAGAAUGCCGCGGUGAAUACGUUCCCGGGUCUUGUACACACCGCCCGUCACACCAUGGGAGUGGGUUUCACCAGAAGUAGCUAGCCUAACCGUAAGGGGGGCGGUUACCACGGUGAGAUUCAUGACUGGGGUG